GAGAGCCACACAUCCAGCGGGGGAGGGAAGCGGGGUGUGCCUCUCUCUGCCCCCGUCCCACUUCCUCUCCCCCUGGCGCUCCGGCCCGGCUGCGCUGCCCAGCGGAAGGGGUUUAGCGCCAGCGCCUGCCCCUCUGGCUGCGGAGUGCGUGCGGGACUCGGGACAUGGAGGGCUACGGGCUCUUCCUCGUGCUGCUGGUCUCGGCGCUGCUGCUCGGCUUCCUCUCCGUGCUCUUCGCCCUCGUCUGGGUCUUUCAUUACCGGGAGGGGCUCAGCUGGGACGGGGGCUCGGCGGAGUUCAACUGGCACCCGGUCCUCAUCAUCACCGGCUUCAUCUUCAUCCAGGGGAUCGCCAUUAUUGUGUACAGAUUGCCCUGGACCUGGAAAUGCAGCAAACUCCUGAUUAAAUUCAUCCAUGCUGGGUUAAAUACCAUAGCAAUGAUUCUUGCAAUUGUUUCUCUGGUAGCUGUUUUUGAUUUCCACAAUGUCAAGAACAUUCCCAACAUGUACAGUCUGCACAGCUGGAUUGGACUGACUGCUGUUAUAUUUUAUACUCUGCAGCUUGUCUUAGGUUUUGCUGUCUUUCUGCUGCCCUUCGCUCCAGUUUCUCUUCGAGCAUCUCUCAUGCCAAUACAUAUUUAUUCUGGCCUCCUCAUCUUUGCAACAGUGAUUGCAACAGCUCUCAUGGGAUUCACAGAGAAACUUAUUUUUUCUCUGAAACCUCCUGCACCUGCAUAUAGCACAUUUCCACCAGAGGCGAUUUUUGUCAACACUCUUGGUCUUUUGAUUGUUAUCUUUGGGGCUCUUGUUUUGUGGAUGGCAACAAGACCCCACUGGAAACGCCCACCAGAACAGAAUUCUAAAAUUCAGCAACCAAAUGGAGGGACACCUGAAGGUACAGAAGAGGAAUCCACUAUGACAGAUUGCAGCAAUACAGAUAAAUCUGAUGUGGAGUUCAAUAGUGAAGCAGCAGCCAGAAAACGAAACCUCAAACUUGAUGAGGUAGGGCAACGGUCUACCAUGUAAAGGGAGUACACAAAAUUGAUGCAGUAUUACAUUAUAAAAAAAUGCUAUUCCUUUCCAGCUAUUGAUUACAUUUGGUAUGUAAACAGGGAAUUUCUAUCAGGCUUGCUUAAUGCAGUUCAGUUUUUCUGCACAACUAGUAUGAGCUGAAAAGGUCUUUAAAAUUCACUAAGAUCCAUAUUUGUCAUGACAGUCCUUAUCGUACCUCUGUUUAAAAGAAUUGAGGACUGGGAUGAAAAAACAUGUUGAGAUUUGUGCCUUUUAAAAAAAAGGUAGUAUGUCUGGAAUAAGGACAGAGUUUUAAAAAGCAUCUAAUGGGAAAAUAAUUUCUACAUCACGUCUUAAUGUAUUGGUUGUUUCUAUGCAGUUCACUAGUUUCUUUAGCAAGUUGUUAUGACUGGGACAAAAUGCUACCCUGAGUUAUGCUGUGAAUGGGCAUGAAGGAGAGUUGUAUAUGCACAGCAGAGUGCAGAAUUUAUCCAUUAGCACACGCCUAUGCUGUUUUAUAAUAUAGUUCCACUUUUGUAAGGGCCUGGUUCUCAAGCUUAUGAGCAUUCUCAAUUCCCACUGAAGUCCAUGAGAACUGAGGUCACUCCGGAAUUUUCAGAAUCACACUAUUCAAAAUUUUUGGCCAAAACGGUUUAAUUAGGAAAGAAAUUAAACAGAAUUUUUGUUGAAAUUUUCACUAAAAUGUCAUGUUUUUGACCAGCUUUUUCCAUUUUUUUUAAUAAGAGUUCAUCAACAUCUUGAAUAGGUUUUAAACCAGCUCUAGGACAUGUAUAGAUUUAUAGCCAGCAUUCACCCUUAUAUACAUGUGAUUGCUACUGAAAUCCAUGUAAGCUACAAGUAAACAUCUAACAGCAGCAUUUGACCUAUCUUGAAAUAUAUGCAGCUUUUACAUUCACUUUAUUAACACAAUUACAAAAACUAUGUAUUGGGUCAUCAAAUCCUUUCCCUUGGCCUCUGGAACCAGUACAGUAUUGUUCUUUAUGGUUGUAUCUUACAAGCUAAUAUUUUGAAGCCUUUUAUUUCUCCAUUUUAAUCUGGAACAGUAAGAUGAGGAAAGCAGUGUCUAAUGGUUUAGGCACAAGUAGAAGUCAGGACAUAUGGUCUAUGUCUACACUUCAAUUAGAAACCAGUGGUUAGUCUGUGCCAGCUGAUUUGGGCUUAUGGGGCUUGGGGUAAGGGGCUGUUUAACUGCGGUGUAGACAGCUGGCAUGGGCUAGCGGCAGGUUUUUAAUUACAGUGUAGACAUACACAUGGAUUCUGUUCCCACCUCUGCCACUGGCUCACUCCAAUCUUAUAACCUCUGUCUUACUUUCUUCAUUUGUAAAUUGAAGAUUUACGUAAUGCUUAACUUAGGCAAUUAAUUUAACAUUUGUAAAAGUGCUUUGCACUUCUAUAGCUUCCUUUGACAAAUCAGUAUUAAUGCAUUACUUUUAUCUAAAAAUCUCUCUCAGAUAUAAUAAAUAGACAUUGCUUUUACUUACUUACAUAAUUCUAGAAGAAUGGAAAACUACUCUAAUAGAAAAAUAAUUAUAGUGGAUGGCUUUAUGUGAUUUCAAGUGUCCAAAGUGAUUAGCCUUUCUCUUGCAAUCUGCUUGUAAGGGUUGCCAAAUUUACUUUUGUAAUACCAGUGUCUAGACCUAAAAUCAUUUUGACAAGUGGCGUAACUAUUUCAUGUUUACCACUAUUCAUGUUGCAAAGAGCUCUGGACUAGAGCUUUGGGCACUAUACCACUUUCCAUUCCUUCUGAAGACUAUUUUCAUUUUGAUUUAUAUAUCAGCUUCUCACAUAUAUUUAAACACAUUAGGAUCCCACAAAUAUUUUAAUCUUUCUAGCUCAAAGUGAUGUAUUGAUGUACAUAGUUUUGAUUACUUAUUGUUAUUUUAGGGCUCCUUUGAGAUAAUAAAGCACCUUGGGUCACAAGCUUGGGUUUGUAAUAACAUUGAAUCAUUUGAGUACAAUACAAGAAAAGCUAGUAUAUUAAUUCUUAGGAAAAUUUCUCUACAGUUCUGUUUUGGUAAACAAGAUUAUAUCCUAGGUUUCUGUAUAACUUACAUAUAUGUCUGACAGAGCUGUGUGCUUGAUCUUAAUUGCUUAGAAAAAGAUUUCUACACACAUUGUUUAAAAAAAACACCCCAUAUUAUUGACAUCUGCCGUUUCCUCUUAGAAAACAUGUGUCUUUAGGAGAUCAAAAACUUCUACACAUUUUAAUGUAGAAUUGAGAUAUGAGAAUGGAAAAUACUUUCUUCCCAUUGCCUGAUCAGACCUCCAGUACCACUCUUUGUAAAAGAGAGGACUGUUGCUUCCGUCUUUUUAAAGUGUACCCUAGGUGUGUCUAUAUUUCCCAAGACAAUCUGGAUUCACUAAGAAUCCCUCUGUAGUCUGAGUCUAAAAUCAAGAAGGCACUCUGCAUUCAUGGUAAUGUUUGUUAAGAUGAGAGGAAAAGUGAGGAAAUUUAGAGCGCUUGUUAAAGUUCACUGUGACCAAUUUAUAUGUCCUUGAAGUUACUGCAUCCUAGUAUGGCUAUACAAGCUACGCAUUAGAAAGGAAGGGUCGCCGUAAUUUAUACAAUGUGAUAAAUUGCACCGUGUUUGAUCAGAUUAUGAAAAAACCACAGGAAAAAUCUACGGUGUUUUGAAAGGUUGACUUAGUGAGCACCUGAUACCUGAAUAAGGCCCUUAACAAAAACAAAACAACAAAAAUGCUUUAGUGCUUAUGAAAGGUGCCAUCUUAACAACUCUGGAGGCUGGAUUCCUCUGUUUAUCUAUAGAACAGGUACAGCCCAGGAAGCAGUAGUUUUAAAUGUCUACAAACUUGCCAACUAUUGUGUCUCAACCAUCUGUGGAGAUAUGUAAUACAUUUUUAAUAUCCAUGUAAUCCUUCAUGCGCUGUUGAGACUGCACACAAAACACCCACAUUUAUUAGCAAUAUGGACACCUGUCCAGGAAUUGGCCUGGAAUAGACUAAUUUCAUAUGGGACAUAGUACAGUAACUAUUUAAUCACUUUUAACUUGGGCUAUGGUGGAACCAGAAACUUAUAGGUGAAAAGUUCUGCUGUUGCGUGCCUGGAUGCUCUGCAAGGACGAGGCCCACACACACAGGUGAAUUAAUUGGCUUUAAUGAAAGUUAAGUGACACACCCGCAACGGGGACUCCACGCGUUGCUGCCACUGACUUGGGGAGUCCAACGUCCGAAUAGCUUGGUCAGGUGCAAAGUCCAACGCGCAAGCUCCAGCCCAUAGCAAUUAUAGCAUCAUGCUAAUAGCAUGCAAAGCAGCCUCUACAUAUGCAAUGGGGGACUUUCCAACAGCAAUGGCCGCCUCCCCUGGCCUCGGGCCAGGGACUUUCUGCAGUUCCCCAAAACACCGGGGCUUCCCACACAGGGCAGUUCUAACCAGUUAGAAGAAGCAGCUGCUGGCAACUUCUGUCCGCUAAUAACCUCUCCUUGAGAAAGCGCAGGCCCUAGCUAAACCGUAAUAAUGUCUUCUGGGGUCCCCUACAUCUGCAUUCUGUGAACAGCAUAACUUGUUAUACUAGUCACUAUGCCUUUUAUUUUCUAUUUGCUACCUUUACUAUCUAAGGCCUGGUCUAUACUACACGUUUAAACCGAAUUUAGCAGCAUUAAACCGAUUUGAACCCUGCACCCGUCCACACAACGAAGCCCUUUAUAUGGAUAUAAAGGGCUCUUUAAACCAAUUUCUUUACUCCUCCCCAACGAGGGGAGUAGCAUGCAAAUCGGUAUUGCCAUGUCGGAUUAGGGUUAGUGUGGCCGCAAUUCGAUGGUAUUGGCCUCCGGGAGCUAUCCCACAGUGCACCAUUUUGACCGCUCUGUACAGCAAUCUGGAGUCGGAUGCACUGGCCAGGUAGACAGGAAAAGCCCCGCGAACAUUUGAAUUUCAUUUCCUGUUCGCCCAGCGUGGAGAGAUCAUCAGCACAGGUGACCACGCAGAGCUCAUCAGGUAACAAUGCAGUCUCCUGAGAAUCGAAAAAGAGCUCUAGCAUGGACUGGAUCUGAUCGCUGUAUGGGGAGAGGAUUCCGUGCUAACAGAACUCCAUUCCAAAAGACGAAAUGAAAAAACAUUUGAAAAAAUUUCCAAGGCCAUGAUGCAGAGAGGCCACACCAGGGACUCAGUACAGUGCCACGUGAAAGUUAAGGAGCUCAGACAAGCCUAUCAGAAAACCAAAGAAGCAAACGGAAAUUCCUGGGCAGCGCCGAAAACAUGCCACUUCUAUGCUGAGCUGCAUGCAAUUCUAGGGGGGUCCGCCACCACUACCUCACCCCUGUCCGUGGAUUCCAAGGUAGGGGUGGUAAUCACAGCCAUGGCUGAGGAUUCUGUGGACGGGGAAGAUGAGGACGAGCUUGUAGAAAGCACACAGCACUCCGUUCUCCCCAACAGCCAGGAGCUUUUUCUCACCCUGACGGAAUUACCCUCCCAGCGCUCCCAAGCAACUAUCCCAGACAAUGAAGCCAUGGAACAGACCUCUGCUGCAAAUUUUUCAAGCCUCCCUACUUCAUCUUGAAGGCUAUCUCAGAUAAGGCGGCGGGAAAAAAAGACGCGAGAAGAAAUGUUUUCGCAAAUCAUGGAAGUGACCCGCAAUGAAAGAGCUCAUCUGAAUGAGUGGAAGGACAUGGUAGCAAAGUACAGGAAAGAUGCCAGUGACUGUGAGGACAGGAAGGACCAACGUGAGGACAGGAGGGACGAACGUGAGGACAGGAGAGAUGCUCGAGAUGAGAGGUGGUGGCAGGAAGAUCAGUGGUGGUGGGAUGCAACUCUGGGGCUGCUGCGUAAUCAAACUGACAUGCUCUGGCAUAUGAUGGAGCUUCGGAAUGGCAGCAGGAUCACAGAGUGCCGCUGCAGCCCCUGUAUAACCACGUCCCCCCUCACCAUGUUCCUUAGCCUCCUCACCCGCCAGACAAGUAAGAACUCGUGGGGGCAGGCUCUGUGCACCCGCCCACUCCACCCCAGUGGACAGCCCAACCAAAAGGCUCUCAUUAUGAUGAAAUUUUUUUAGUGGCCUUUUCCUUCCCUACUAUUCUCCUCCCAAACCCCAUCGGGGUUACCUUACCAUCCCUCUUUUUAUAAUGAAUUAAUAAAGAAUACAUGAUUUUUAAACGAGAGUGACUUUAUUUCCUUAGAAAGCAAGCUGUGAUCGAAGGGGCGGUGGGUGGGUGGCUUACAGGGAAUGAGUCAAUCAAGGGAGGUGAGGGGUUCAUCAAGGAGAAACAAACACAACAAUCACACUGUAUCCUGGCCAGUGAUGAAACUGGUUUUCAAAGCUUCUCUAAUGCGCACCGCUUCCUGGUGUGCUCUUCUAAUCGCCCUGGUGUCUGGCUAUGCGUAAUCAGCAGCCAGGUGAUUUGCCUCAGCCUCCCACUCCAUCAUAAAGGUCUCCCCCUCACUCUCACAGAGAUUGUGGAGCACACAGCAAACAGCAAUAACAAUGGGGACAUUGGUUUGGCUGAGGUCUGAGCGAGUCAGUAAUGUGCGCCAGUGUGCCUUUAAAUGGCCAAAGGCAUAUUCUAUCACCAUUCUGCACUUGCUCAGCCUGUAGUUCAACAGCGUCUGACUACUGUCCAGGCUGCCUGUAUAUGGCUUCAUGAGCCAUGGCAUCAAGGGGUAGUCUGGGUCCCCCAGGAUAACUACAGGCAUUUUAACAUCCUCAACUGUUAUUUUCUGGUCUGGGAAGUAAUUCCCUUGCUGCAGCCAUUUAAACAGAAUAGUGUUCCUGAAGACGUGAGCGUCAUGAACCGUUCCCGGCCAUCCCACGUGGAUGUUAGUGAAACGUCCCUUGUGAUCCAGCAGUGCUUGCAGCACCAUGGAAAAGUACCCCUUGCGGUUUAUGUAGUGGGUGCUCUGGUACUCUGGUGCCAAGAUUGGGAUAUGGGUUCCAUCUAUUGCCCUACCACAGUUAGGGAAUCCCAUUGCAGCAAAGCCAUCCACUAUGACCUGCACAUUUCCCAGAGUCACAAUCUUUCAUAGCAGCAGCUUAGUGAUUGCUUUGGCUACUUGCAUCACAGCAGCCUCCACAGAUUUGCCCACUCCAAAUUGAUUCCCAACUAACCGGUAGCUGUCUGGCGUUGCAAACUUCCAGAGGGCUAUUGCCACUCGCUUCCCAACUGUGAGAGCUGCUCUCAUCUUGGUAUUCUGGCGCUUCAGGGCAGGGGAAAGCAAGUCACAAAAUUCCAUUAAAGUGCCCUUACGUAUGUGAAAGUUUCGCAGCCACUGGGAAUCGUCCCACAGCUGCAACACUGUGCGGUCCCACCAGUCUAUGCUUGUUUCCCGGGCCCAAAAUCGGCAUUCAAUUAUUAGAACCUGCCCCAUUACCAGCAGGAUCUCCAAAGCGCAGGGGUCCGCAGUUUGAGAGAAUUCUGUGUCCAUGUCCUCAUCACUCUUGUCGCCGCUCUGCUGUAGCCGCCGCCUCCUCACCUGGCUUUGCAGGUCCCGGUUCAGCAUUGACUGCACGAGAAUGCGCGAGAUGUUUAAAACGUCCAUGAUUGCUGUCUUGAGCUCAGCAGGGUCCAUGCUUGCCAUGGAAUGGCAUCUGCACAGUUCACCCACGAAAAAAGGUGCAAAACGGUUGGCUGCUGCUGCUUUCAUGGAAGGAGGAGUGAGGUUGUACCCAGAAGCACCAGUGGCAAUGUUUUUUGCCCCAUCAGGCACUGUGAUCUCAACUCAGCAUUCCAAUGGGCGGGGGAGACUGUGGGAACUAUGGGAUAGCUAUGGAAUAGCUACCCACAGUGCAACACUCAGGAAAUCGACGCUAGCCUCGGUACAUGGACGCACACCGCCGAAUUAAUGUGCUUAGUGUGGCCACGUGCACUCGACUUUAUACAAUCUGUUUUACAAAACCGGUUUAUGUAAAAUCGGAAUAAUUCCGCCGUAUAGAUGUACCCUAAGAUUAACUUGAAAUUAGUUGUAAUUAUACUGUUUAAAAGAGUAGUAUCACUUUUUCCCCUUCCUAUGAAAUACAUUACACAAUCUCUCAUUCUAAACUGAUAAUAAAAUAACAUUUCUAUCCCAAUUCAAAAAAGCUUCUUUUAGUUCCUUCCUGGAAAAAUAUCUUUAAAAUAAAGCUGCUUUAAGGACUGAAGAAAAAAAUAUUCACCGUUUAAAUUAAUUAAUUCCUAAAAGGCAGUGGAACUCUCACAUCCUAAUUUAAAUUAUUACAUUGUAUGUGGAGGAGGUUACUUACCUCUCAUCCUAGGAUAUAAUAGGGUAUUUCUCAGAGCAGUUUGUCAAGAAAUAUGCAUCACAGACAUGUUAAAUUGUACAUCAGAUAAAUAAACUGCACAUAUUCUUGCUCUGUUUGAAAUGUUGUAAAUACGUAACUUGUCUUACCUCUAGUAAAAUGUGAUGUGCAAAAACAAGUUCAAGUCUUGAAGCAAUAUGGAAGCCGAGGGUCAUUUUCAAAGGCACAAAUGGGAGUUAAGACCACAGCUCCCACUAACUUUCACCUGGAUGCCUAACUGCGUUUGAAAAUGUCCCUCUAAACUAUUAGGCUUUUAAAGGGAGACUGUCACAGAGCUUCGAUGCCAACUUUGGAUUUGUGUAAAAAUAUAUAUAAAUAGGGAGCAGGGAAGGCUACAGAACCUAAAAUAAACAAGUAUUUUCUUUUAAAUUUAAUGAAAACAAGGUAACUUUUAAUGUAUUUAAAUACUUUUCUGCAGUACUGGGCAUUGAGACAUGACAACAUUUUGUUCCUCAUGAAUGCAACUGAACAAAAGGGGAACUGAGAACUAAAUUCACUCUCCUGAGUGAACCAGCAAUAGACAGCACACAUUAUUGAAAAUUAGAUUUAAAAAUAAAUUCUAUUUUGAAUAUUUAAAGUGGUGGUAAUGAUUUUUAAGCUAAAAUGGAGUUGAAUAAAACCAAAUAGCUGAAUGUACAAUAAUUACAUGUAAAUUUCUCUGCCAAAGAUAAUGAAGACGAUUGCAUAUGAUAUUGUAAAUAAGGAUUAACAAUGUACAUGAAAAUUAUAACCUGGGAUUUUAGUGAGAUGGUAAAAGAAUAUUACCAAAAUAUUUUCUAUUUCAUAAGAUUUCUUUACUCUAUUUCAGCCUAUUUAUUAGGAACUGAAGCAACGGAAUGUUUUAUCAUUUGCAGUGCUUAUUUGUAGAGGAAAAGAAAACUGUUUUAUCACAAUGUAUAUUUCCUUACUCUUUUUUGUAUGUCAAUAAAAACUAUUUUUGAAGCUUGCAA
Gopherus flavomarginatus (Mexican gopher tortoise) is the source of this 9228-nucleotide RNA transcript. It is a transcript of the gene named plasma membrane ascorbate-dependent reductase CYBRD1, with no coding region annotated. NCBI's taxonomy places the organism in Eukaryota, Metazoa, Chordata, Testudines, Testudinidae. The transcript is spliced from 5 exons. The record is from RefSeq and is a predicted model, not a curated record.